GAUGAACGCUGGCGGCGUGCCUAAUACAUGCAAGUCGAGCGAACGGACGAGAAGCUUGCUUCUCUGAUGUUAGCGGCGGACGGGUGAGUAACACGUGGAUAACCUACCUAUAAGACUGGGAUAACUUCGGGAAACCGUAGCUAAUACCGGAUAAUAUUUUGAACCGCAUGGUUCAAAAGUGAAAGACGGUCUUGCUGUCACUUAUAGAUGGAUCCGCGCUGCAUUAGCUAGUUGGUAAGGUAACGGCUUACCAAGGCAACGAUGCAUAGCCGACCUGAGAGGGUGAUCGGCCACACUGGAACUGAGACACGGUCCAGACUCCUACGGGAGGCAGCAGUAGGGAAUCUUGCGCAAUGGGCGAAAGCCUGACGGAGCAACGCCGCGUGAGUGAUGAAGGUCUUCGGAUCGUAAAACUCUGUUAUUAGGGAAGAACAUAUGUGUAAGUAACUGUGCACAUCUUGACGGUACCUAAACAGAAAGCCACGGCUAACUACGUG
Molecule: ribosomal RNA, 497 nt
Filed under: uncultured bacterium
Lineage: Bacteria
Description: partial 16S ribosomal RNA
Rfam family: Bacterial small subunit ribosomal RNA
Source: RNAcentral